This is a long non-coding RNA of Triplophysa dalaica, 416 nucleotides long. RefSeq lists it as uncharacterized. The record is from RefSeq and is a predicted model, not a curated record. The transcript is spliced from 3 exons. NCBI's taxonomy places the organism in Eukaryota, Metazoa, Chordata, Actinopteri, Cypriniformes, Nemacheilidae.
CCAUUUGUCUCGGUGAUGGAUUUCCUAUUUUUACCGACAGCAACUGAGUCGAGGGACGCGUGAAUAAUAGAUGGAGGCUUAGCAGCUCGCGGUGAAAUACUGUCACGGAGAAGCCUCACUAUGAAACAGCCAGUGAUAAAUGACCAUCUCUCCCCCUCCACCAUCUCCACAGCAACCUCUGCUCUGCCUAAGUGCUUCUGAUUAGUGACCCAUGACUUAAAGACGCUGAUGAAUCUGCGCCUACGCGGAUCGAACGUAACCCCAAUCAGACCACCGGCUUCAGCGAAACAUUUCUGUCACAAACUUCAUCCCUCAUUCAUCGAGAACUUAAUCUCUCUGUUAAACAACGAUUAGAUGCUGAAAAAAUGCUGUUGUUUGUAGACAAAGAACAGGAGGGAGACUUGUUAUAUUUUGCC